AUGAAUCUCAGCUGAACUGUGCUGCUCUAAAGCCUGAAUGCUUCUGACCGUGAAACCUAUGUGAUAUCUGUCACAGUCUUGAAUCUUACUCUUGGUGGAGUGUGAGUCAUCUCCUAACCCGGUUCCCCUGUGGCAUUUAGGAUCUUAGGCUUUGGCCUUUUCCCUUACCCUCUCAGCUGUCAUCAGCCCAUGGCCUCUACAUGCUUUGCCCUUGUCUGUUUCUGUUAAGCUGCCCAUCACCUUGAUGUUGUCCUGGGCUGCCAUUUCCUAGACAAGGACUAAUGUUUCUCUACAGAUCCUCUUAACCAUGUCCUGGGAUGUCCUCAUGCUGUUCUGUUUUCUCUCCAGCUCUGCCAUCCCUAUUCUCAGUUACUCCAGUACAUGGAAAGAUACAGGAAGCGUUUGAAGGCCAAGAACCUAAUGUACAUCAAGCAAAUCCUGUACUUGCUGGAGAAGUUUGUGGCUGUUUUGCGAGGUAGGGGCAUCCUAGUACACAGAGCCUGCUCCAGACAGGAUCUGAACUGAAGAGCAUCAAUGACUUUCUCUUUCAGAGUCAGGUGGACAACAUCAACCUGUUCAAGGUAAAGGUCUAUUCUGAUUUAAGCACCUUCUGAUUUACUUAAAGCUAGAAAGGAGAGGUAGGGGUGGAAUGCAGCUGUUGCAGAG
This is a long non-coding RNA of Onychomys torridus (southern grasshopper mouse), 666 nucleotides long. RefSeq lists it as uncharacterized. NCBI's taxonomy places the organism in Eukaryota, Metazoa, Chordata, Mammalia, Rodentia, Cricetidae. The transcript has 3 exons. The record is from RefSeq and is a predicted model, not a curated record.